Sorghum bicolor (sorghum) is the source of this 2128-nucleotide long non-coding RNA. RefSeq lists it as uncharacterized. Lineage: Eukaryota; Viridiplantae; Streptophyta; Magnoliopsida; Poales; Poaceae. The record is from RefSeq and is a predicted model, not a curated record. The transcript is spliced from 2 exons.
UGGGUCCCACCCACUUUUCCCCUCCCACCGCGUGACCACGCCUCGUCCGUGACCGAGCGCCGCCGCGCGCUCGACCGCGCCGCGCCGGAGCACCUCGUCCACCGGAGCCGGUGCAGGAGGCUCGUCACGCCGGAGCAGGAGCUGCGACCGCGACCACGACCGCACCGCGCUGGAGCGUCUCGUCUGCGAACGCACCGCCAAGAUCCGCCACCGUGACCGCGCCGCCAAGAUCCGCGAACACGCCGGAACAGGAGCAGUUCCUCUCCCAUGGACGGCGGUGCGUCCCGUGGAAUCCCCGGAGGCGGGCUGCCUCCCCGUCCGGCGUUGGCUCCCACGCGACGUCGUGCAUUCAUCGCGCCGCAUCCCCGUCCUACCUCGGCUCCUGUCAACACCAACCUGUCUCGUACCCAAGAACGUCCAUCUCCCAGCGGCGGCGGCGGCAGGAUGCCUUCUCCCAGCGGCGGCGGCGGCGGCGGCUUACCUCCUCGGCUCUGCAACGACCCGCCUCGACUCGGCCCUCGCGCAUUGACCUUCAUGGAGCCUCACACCGGCACCUGGGACGCCAACAGCAGCACAUGGGACGCCGGCAGCACCACAUCAUCACCAGCACAAGCACAUGUCUAUGAGGUUGCCGACGACGACUUCAGCCAGAUUCAUUGGACGCCUGAGUACUAGGUGAGUUGUGCUGAUUUCAUUCCCAAGAUACAUGGACAAAGCAACAAGCAGCUAGGAGUAUCUAUCUUGAGAAAUGUUGCUGGUUUCUUAUUACUACUUUCAAUUCCUAUCUUACUUUUAUAUCAAUUUAGUUCUAUAGCAACAUAUGCUUGUUUCAGACUUUGAGCUGCCUGUACCUUUCAUGGUAGUUUCUUUUGAAAAUGAAGAUCCAAGAUUUUUUUGUUCUAUGGUAGUUUCUGCAACAGUCCAGGAUUACACUACUUUGGCACAUUUCAGGAUUACACUACUUUGCAUGCUGCACUUUUUAGUUUGUGAGACUGUUUAGUGGUAUAUCUUUUGUUGUUCAGUGCAGGCAUACAUUGUUUCUAACUUUCUAUAUGCCUUAGAUUUUCGCUGCACAAGUCCACUUGCUUUAUCUGCCUUUGGUAAUUCCCUAGAGGUGAUGUUCUAUGCUAUUUCUGAAAACUGCAUUUGUUCCAUCUAAACCUGGCUCAUUGAACUGCAUUUGUUCCCUCUAAAUCUGGAAACCAUUGCUGGCUCACAUUGAGGCACACUCAGAAGUUUGAAUCAACGCUUCAAGGCAACAAGGGGCCAGCCAAGUACAGAGAGGUCAACCUCCCGGUAAGAAGUGAACAAGAGGACGAUGACUCAACCACCCAAGGCCAACAGAGCUCCUCACUCCCUUCAGCUAAGAAAGCGCGACCUCCAGGUAGAAAGCAAUCCAAAGAGAAGCUGAAAAACAAUGAAGAAGAUGACGAGUACAAGGAAAUGAUGCAAAAACUUUUUCUUGCGCUUGUUUCUCCUUGAGCCCUCAAGAAGACCAGCAAUGAUGAAGAGGUCGUCAACAUCAGAUUCAUCCUCGUCAUCCCACCAUGGACGAGCUCUAGUUCCAAGCGUUGAUAUCUGCCAUAUCAACAAAAAAUACAUUAACAAAACAAGAGCAAAGAACUUAUUUUGAUGACAUGACAUACUAGCUCUGAAUUUGCAGUAAGAAACAUCUCCUUGUUCCAACAUUCUGUAUUAUGUGUUUCAGUCAUAGUAAACAUAAACAUGCAGAGCCAGAGCAAUGUGUGGAGACUUGGGACACAAUGUGCAACUUAUACUAGCAAGAAGUCCCCACAACUACAGGAUUCUCUUGAAUUUUCUGAUGUUUACCUACUCUGUAGCAGCCCUGGUUGCAUCAAACAGAGGACUGACUGUGUGGUGCUCAUGCUUUGAAAAUAGGUCUGUCAACGUCAACAACUCUACUAAUAAAUGAUAUCGUAGAUUUCUGCAUUCCUUGACUAUGUAGAGACUUGGGACACAUUCCUUCAUCUGUACUAGUAAAUACAUGCAGAGGCAAGUCAUUUGUGUAUAGUAGAGAUUUGGGACACAUUCUGCAAAAGUGUAUUCAGCAAACAUGUCUCCAGAUCUAAAGGAAUUUUUCUCUGAAAUUUUCAGAUGUGUUAUGCUA